UACGUAGGGAGCAAGCGUUGUCCGGAAUCAUUGGGCGUAAAGCGCGUGUAGGCGGCCAGGUAGGUCCGUUGUGAAAACUCGAGGCUCAACCUCGAGACGUCGACGGAAACCAUCUGGCUAGAGUCCGGAAGAGGAGAGUGGAAUUCCUGGUGUAGCGGUGAAAUGCGCAGAUAUCAGGAAGAACACCCGUGGCGAAGGCGGCUCUCUGGGACGGUACUGACGCUGAGACGCGAAAGCGUGGGGAGCGAACAGG
Molecule: ribosomal RNA, 253 nt
Filed under: uncultured bacterium
Lineage: Bacteria
Description: partial 16S ribosomal RNA
Rfam family: Bacterial small subunit ribosomal RNA
Source: RNAcentral